UGGCGGAGAGGAGGCUCUCUGCAGACAGGGCUGGCGUUGGAGGUGUGGGUGAAAUCCUGGUCCCGGCACACAGGCACACACCGACUGGGUGGCCUCGGGCAAGUGACGUAACCUCUCUGAGCCCCCAGGUCCUCCUUUGGCCAGCGGGAUAGCGGUGGCCGCGUCACAGAGUGGCCAUGAGGAACGGCACCACGGCAGCGCAGACGAGUGGCUGGUCACCAAGGAAGCAGCCCCCCCACGCCAGCCCUCCCGCGUCUCCCGCGGGGGUCUUGCGGUCUCCCUGCGCCACUCGCUGCCCUCCCGGGCUUGCCCGUCGGGGGACAUCUGUGCCUGGCGUCACCCCGCCCCGACUCCGGCCUCCGCUGGGGGCCCCGCCAUCACCGCCGACCUGGGCCUGUUACCCCGCGGCUCAUCCUAAUCCGGUGGCCUUUCCUCCACCGUUCAAGAUGGCGCUUGGGCUCCACAACCCAGCGAACGGGGCCAAGGGCACAGGACAAAUGAGCGUGUAUCCUUCCGAGGAGGUCAGAACCCGGCACUUCCACUUCUCACCUGGCAAGCGCUCCGCACACGGCCACGGCGAGCCUCACUGACAGCGGGGAAAUCCGCAUUUCCAGGUGGCCUUGGGCCUAGCUGAAGAUCGGGCUUCUACCCCGGAGGACAAGGCGGGCGAGCGAGCACUGGGAAACGACUCUGCCGCCCCAAAAUUAACACCACCCACCAACCCUCUGUCCCACGUGCGAUGCAGCACCCACGUCCAGGGUCCACGUUUCCCUUAGAGGCGUUAGCAUGUCUGCGUGGAGCUCAAGUAAAGAAAACCCCGGAAAUGCCCCAUGGUUCACUCUUGGCAGCUUUCAAAACUGCUGGAAAAAUCCAGAGAGUUUCCAAGAAGCCGCCAGGGGAGCUCACAACCUGCCCGGAUCUCUGGCGGCCGCCUGUGAGCUUUUCUCUCCGACCCCCCCUUUGCAGGUGGACCGGAGGGUCCCUGUGUGUCCGUCCAGGCGCCCAUGGAAAGGCCCCACCUGCGAGGCCCUGGAGGCCUUCUAUCUUCAAAAAACAAAGUAAUUCACUUUUAAUGACCGCCAGUGUUUUCCUUCCCAGUUCUCUUUGAGCAGAUAAUGCGUCUGAGGCCUUCCCGACAGGGUUAAACCACCGUGACCUUCAUAAUCAGAGAACAGAAAUAAAUUAUAUUUACUCAUAAA
RNA transcript from Neofelis nebulosa (Clouded leopard), 1199 nucleotides. It is a transcript of the gene named Krueppel-like factor 2, with no coding region annotated. NCBI's taxonomy places the organism in Eukaryota, Metazoa, Chordata, Mammalia, Carnivora, Felidae. The transcript has 3 exons. The record is from RefSeq and is a predicted model, not a curated record.